AAUGAACGCUGGCGGUAGGCCUAACACAUGCAAGUCGAACGGCAGCACAGUAAUGGCUGGCUCUUACGGGUGUCGAGUGUCGGACGGUGGAGUAAUACAUCGAAUUCUACUUUUUCGUGGGGGAUAACGUAGUGAAACUUACGCUAAUACCGCAUACGACCUACGAGUGAAAGCAGGGGAUCUUCUGACUUUGCGCUAGUGAAUGAGCCGAUGUCGGAUUCGCUAGUUGGCGGGGUCGAGGCCCACCAAGGCGACGAUCCGUAGCUGGUCCGAACGGAUGAAUCGCUAGCCUGGAACUGAGAAACGGUAGAGACUCUUACGGGAGGACGCAGUGCGGACUCCUGCACGAUGGGGGAAAGCCUGAUCCAGCACAACCGCGUGGAUGAUGAAGGACUCAGGGUUCUAAAGCGAUUUAGUUCGGAAAGAAAAGAAGCAGGUUCAUCUCGCGAUGUUAUGACGGUACCAAAAGAAUAAGCCCCGGCUAACUCCGUG
Molecule: ribosomal RNA, 492 nt
Filed under: uncultured bacterium
Lineage: Bacteria
Description: partial 16S ribosomal RNA
Rfam family: Bacterial small subunit ribosomal RNA
Source: RNAcentral